GACGAACGCUGGCGGCGUGCUUAACACAUGCAAGUCGUACGGUAAGGCCCUUUCGGGGGUACACGAGUGGCGAACGGGUGAGUAACACGUGAGUAACCGGCCCACAACUUUGGGAUAACGCUAGGAAACUGGUGCUAAUACUGGAUAUGUGCUCCUGCUGCAUGGUGGGGGUUGGAAAGCUCCGGCGGUUGUGGAUGGACUCGCGGCCUAUCAGCUUGUUGGUGGGGUAGUGGCCUACCAAGGCGGCGACGGGUAGCCGGCCUGAGAGGGUGACCGGCCACAUUGGGACUGAGAUACGGCCCAGACGCCUACGGGAGGCAGCAGUGGGGAAUAUUGCACAAUGGGCGCAAGCCUGAUGCAGCAACGCCGCGGGCGGGAUGACGGCCUUCGGGUUGUAAACCGCUUUCAGCAGGGACGAAGCUUUUUGUGACGGUACCUGCAGAAGAAGCACCGGCUAACUACGUG
RNAcentral lists this ribosomal RNA (465 nucleotides) under uncultured bacterium. RNAcentral's name for it is "partial 16S ribosomal RNA". It matches the Rfam family "Bacterial small subunit ribosomal RNA", at positions 28 to 507 of the family's 1533-position model. The record is from RNAcentral.